AUGUAUGUAGGCUGGAGGGGGUGAUGGAAUGAGGGAAACAUCUGGCUUUGGAUCACAGCUUUGUAAGUCCUGUAUAACCCCAAUAACUCCACACACAGCAUCAGCAGCAAGCCGUGUAUAGUGCCUGUAUGUGCCAGACACUAUUCUAAGUGCUUUCUAUACAGUAACCCUUUAAUCUUCACAAGAAUCCUAUGAUAUAGGAUGGUUUUAUCGUCCAGAUUUUACAGAUGAGAGCACUGAGGCACAGAGCUAAGCAACCUGCCCGACUAGUCUCACAACUAAUAAGCACCAGGGCAGGAUUUGAACCUAAGCAGCCUGGCACCAAAAAUCUGUGCUGUUAUACUUUUCUUCAGAAUGGGGAGGUAUGCUUUACCUACUCUUCCAGCUUUGGGGUCUCAGAUGAAAUGGAGAUCACAAGAAAAGUCUAACAUCCAGUUACAAUAGAAAGUAUUCCAGAAAUAGCAGUUAUGAUUGUAUAGAUACUGUUGUGGCCACUGCUACUGUUGCUGCUACUGCUGCAAGGAGGCUGGGAGCUGCUGGGCCAUGGAGAGCUUGGGAAUGCUACCCAGGGGACUGGAGCAUCGUGUGGGAGGUGGGGCUGGAUGGCCAUCCAGGCUCUCACACCCUGAGAUUCAUUGAUUUGAUUAUAACCACAUGGGAGGAGCUUCAUCUCACCCCGCAGGCAAACCACACACACACACUUGCAUGCACACAUGCACACACUUAUGCCCACAUGCGUACGUGUACACACACACACAAGCCCAUUCAUAAGCCUUAUUGGCUGCCUGUCUCUCACUGAGCCCUAGAAAGAGGACUGAUGAUUGGCUUUGGCCAGGUGGCUUGGGGGUCAUAAUUAGGGCCAGAAGAAGGAGCAAGGUCAUGGGGUUCAGACUGUGCCAAAGUGCACUUACUCCAUGACACACGUGGAUCAAGUGACAGGGCCCAUGGAAGCUGGCCUGCUACAGCGUGGCUGCUUGCCACAGGUCAGACCAUGCCAUCCCACAAGUUGAUUAGAAUAAACCUGAGUGUGUUUGGGAUCAGGGCCAAGAAGACACACAGCUGGUGGGCUGUUGGCAGCCGACUCCCAGCGUGGUCAAGUCCACUGGCGUUCAGUCAUUCGUGUGCAUUCUUCCGUUACCAGCGUGCAUUCAGCACCACUGCAUAUGAGGCUUCAAGUCAGGCACUGAGCGUUGAGAAACAAACAGGAUGUGGUCUCUGCCCUGGAGGAACCCACACACACCUUAGCGGAGAGGGGGAAAACAACCUAGCAAACACAACACAAAGUGGCGAUUCUCAAGUCAAGUCAAGACCCAUGGGAUGCAAACGGGCCCCAUCAGUGCCACCCUGGUGAUGACACGCCCCAUCAAAGGGCCCCGGGAAAUCCAGCUGGACUUGGAAAUGAUCACUGUCAACACUGUCAUCAACUUCAGAGGCAGCUCCGUGAUCCGACUGCGGAUAUAUGUGUCGCAGUACCCAUUCUGAGCCUCGGGCUGGAGCCUCCGACGCUGCCUCUCAUUGGCACCAAGGGACAGGAGAAGAGAGGAAAUAACAGAGAGAAUGAGAGCGACACAGACGUUAGGCAUUUCCUGCUGAACGUUUCCCCGAAGAGUCAGCCCCGACUUCCUGACUCUCACCUGUACUAUUGCAGACCUGUCACCCUGCAGGACUUGCCACCCCCAGUUCCUAUGACACAGUUAUCAAAAAGUAUUAUCAUUGCUCCCCUGAUAGAAGAUUGUUGGUGAAUUUUCAAGGCCUUCAGUUUAUUUCCACUAUUUUCAAAGAAAAUAGAUUAGGUUUGCGGGGGUCUGAGUCUAUGUUCAAAGACUGUGAACAGCUUGCUGUCACUUCUUCACCUCUUCCACUCCUUCUCUCACUGUGUUACUGCUUUGCAAAGACCCGGGAGCUGGCGGGGAACCCUGGGAGUAGCUAGUUUGCUUUUUGCGUACACAGAGAAGGCUAUGUAAACAAACCACAGCAGGAUCGAAGGGUUUUUAGAGAAUGUGUUUCAAAACCAUGCCUGGUAUUUUCAACCAUAAAAGAAGUUUCAGUUGUCCUUAAAUUUGUAUAACGGUUUAAUUCUGUCUUGUUCAUUUUGAGUAUUUUUAAAAAAUAUGUCGUAGAAUUCCUUCGAAAGGCCUUCAGACACAUGCUAUGUUCUGUCUUCCCAAACCCAGUCUCCUCUCCAUUUUAGCCCAGUGUUUUCUUUGAGGACCCCUUAAUCUUGCUUUCUUUAGAAUUUUUACCCAAUUGGAUUGGAAUGCAGAGGUCUCCAAACUGAUUAAAUAUUUGAAGAG
This 2294-nucleotide long non-coding RNA is filed under the name Homo sapiens (human). RNAcentral describes it as "non-protein coding lnc-FBLN5-1:1". The record is from RNAcentral. Lineage: Eukaryota; Metazoa; Chordata; Mammalia; Primates; Hominidae.